Molecule: transfer RNA, 73 nt
Filed under: Ornithorhynchus anatinus (platypus)
Lineage: Eukaryota; Metazoa; Chordata; Mammalia; Monotremata; Ornithorhynchidae
Description: tRNA-Met (CAT) (tRNA-Met-CAT-10-1)
Rfam family: tRNA
About the family: Transfer RNA (tRNA) molecules are approximately 80 nucleotides in length. Their secondary structure includes four short double-helical elements and three loops (D, anti-codon, and T loops).
Source: RNAcentral
GUUUCCGUAGUGUAGUGGUCUUCAUGUUCGCCUCAUACACGAAAGGUCCCCGGUUCGAAACCGGGUGGAAACA